GCGGAGGAAAAGAAAGCAACAGCGAUAGCCUCAGUAACGGCGAGUGAAGCGGCUACAGCUCAAAUUUGAAAUCUGGCCUCCUUUGGUGGUCCGAGUUGUAAUUUGCAGAGGAUGCUUUGGCAUUGGCGGCGGUCUAAGUUCCUUGGAACAGGACAUCGCAGAGGGUGAGAAUCCCGUACGUGGGCGCCUGCCUUUGCCGUGUAAAGCUCCUUCGACGAGUCGAGUUGUUUGGGAAUGCAGCUCUAAAUGGGAGGUAAAUUUCUCCUAAAGCUAAAUACCGGCCAGAGACCGAUAGCGCACAAGUAGAGUGAUCGAAAGAUGAAAAGUACUUUGGAAAGAGAGUCAAAUAGCACGUGAAAUUGUUGAAAGGGAAGCGCUUGCAGCCAGACUUGCCCGCAGUUGCUCACCUAGGCUUUUGCCUGGGGCACUCUUCUGCGGGCAGGCCAGCAUCAGUUUGGGCGGUCGGAUAAAGGUCUCUGUCAUGUACCACCCUUCGGGGUGGCCUUAUAGGGGAGACGCAAUGCGACCA
Molecule: ribosomal RNA, 529 nt
Filed under: Pseudopithomyces diversisporus
Lineage: Eukaryota; Fungi; Ascomycota; Dothideomycetes; Pleosporales; Didymosphaeriaceae
Description: eukaryotic LSU rRNA
Rfam family: Eukaryotic large subunit ribosomal RNA
Source: RNAcentral